RNAcentral lists this microRNA precursor (78 nucleotides) under Trichobilharzia regenti. RNAcentral describes it as "mir-3492 microRNA precursor family". It matches the Rfam family "mir-3492 microRNA precursor family". Lineage: Eukaryota; Metazoa; Platyhelminthes; Trematoda; Strigeidida; Schistosomatidae. The record is from Rfam by way of RNAcentral.
AGCCUUCUGUUUCCGUGCUGAGAUUUCGUCAGCGAUCAACCCAUUGGGGCUGAUGCUACUUCACAAAUAAGUAUAGUG